GAUGAACGCUGGCGGCGUGCCUAAUACAUGCAAGUCGAGCGAACGGACGAGAAGCUUGCUUCUCUGAUGUUAGCGGCGGACGGGUGAGUAACACGUGGAUAACCUACCUAUAAGACUGGGAUAACUUCGGGAAACCGUAGCUAGUACCGGAUAAUAUUUUGAACCGCAUGGUUCAAAAGUGAAAGACGGUCUUGCUGUCACUUAUAGAUGGAUCCGCGCUGCAUUAGCUAGUUGGUAAGGUAACGGCUUACCAAGGCAACGAUGCAUAGCCGACCUGAGAGGGUGAUCGGCCACACUGGAACUGAGACACGGUCCAGACUCCUACGGGAGGCAGCAGUAGGGAAUCUUCCGCAAUGGGCGAAAGCCUGACGGAGCAACGCCGCGUGAGUGAUGAAGGUCUUCGGAUCGUAAAACUCUGUUAUUAGGGAAGAACAUAUGUGUAAGUAACUGUGCACAUCUUGACGGUACCUAAUCAGAAAGCCACGGCUAACUACGUG
RNAcentral lists this ribosomal RNA (497 nucleotides) under uncultured bacterium. RNAcentral describes it as "partial 16S ribosomal RNA". It matches the Rfam family "Bacterial small subunit ribosomal RNA", at positions 28 to 507 of the family's 1533-position model. The record is from RNAcentral.